This 514-nucleotide ribosomal RNA is filed under the name uncultured bacterium. RNAcentral's name for it is "partial 16S ribosomal RNA". It matches the Rfam family "Bacterial small subunit ribosomal RNA", at positions 28 to 507 of the family's 1533-position model. The record is from RNAcentral.
GACGAACGCUGGCGGCGUGCUUAACACAUGCAAGUCGAACGAAAAGAGGGAAAGAGCUUGCUCUUUCCGGAAUUGAGUGGCAAACGGGUGAGUAACACGUAAACAACCUGCCUUCAGGAUGGGGACAACAGACGGAAACGACUGCUAAUACCGAAUAAGUUCCAAGGGCCGCAUGGCCCAUGGAAGAAAAGGUGGCCUCUACCUGUAAGCUAUCGCCUGAAGAGGGGUUUGCGUCUGAUUAGCUGGUUGGAGGGGUAACGGCCCACCAAGGCGACGAUCAGGGGGCCGCUAGGAGGGGAUAAGGGGCCACCUUGAAACGGAACCCGGGCCCAGCCCCCUGGGGGAGGCGGCAGGGGGGAUUCUUCCGAAAGGGGGGAAGGCGUGAGGGAGCAAGGCCGCGUGAGUGAGGAGGGCCUUGGGGUUGAAAACCUCUGGGGGCGGGGACGAAAAGGCAGGGGGCGAAGAAAAAACUGCAUGGAGGGUCCCGGAAAAGAAAGCCACGGCUAACUACGGG